GCAAUGGGAUGCGAAUCUCGAAAGCCUGUCUCAGUUCGGAUUGGAGGCUGAAACCCGCCUCCAUGAAGUUGGAUUCGCUAGUAAUCGCGCAUCAGCCAUGGCGCGGUGAAUACGUUCCCGGGCCUUGUACACGCCGCCCGUCAAGCCAUGGGAGCCGGGGGUGCCUGAAGUUCGUGACCGCAAGGAGCGACCUAGGGCAAAACUGGUGACUGGGGCUAAGUCGUAACAAGGUAAC
Molecule: ribosomal RNA, 235 nt
Filed under: uncultured bacterium
Lineage: Bacteria
Description: partial 16S ribosomal RNA
Rfam family: Bacterial small subunit ribosomal RNA
Source: RNAcentral